RNAcentral lists this transfer RNA (72 nucleotides) under Candidatus Levybacteria bacterium RBG_13_35_9. Its description in RNAcentral is "tRNA-Arg". It matches the Rfam family "tRNA". Rfam says of the family: Transfer RNA (tRNA) molecules are approximately 80 nucleotides in length. Their secondary structure includes four short double-helical elements and three loops (D, anti-codon, and T loops). The record is from RNAcentral. RNAcentral also lists the same sequence under 1 other name. Lineage: Bacteria; Candidatus Levyibacteriota.
GCCUUCGUAGCUCAACGGAUAGAGCAACGGUCUUCGGAACCGUUGAUGGGGGUUCGAUUCCUCUCGAAGGCG